GAUGAACGCCGGCGGUGUGCCUAAUACAUGCAAGUCGUACGCACUGGCCCAACUGAUUGAUGGUGCUUGCACCUGAUUGACGAUGGAUCACCAGUGAGUGGCGGACGGGUGAGUAACGCGUGGGUAACCUGCCUCACACUGGGGGAUAACAGUCAGAAAUGACUGCUAAUACCGCAUAAGCGCACAGCAUCGCAUGAUGCAGUGUGAAAAACUCCGGUGGUGUGAGAUGGACCCGCGUUGGAUUAGCUAGUUGGCAGGGCAGCGGCCUACCAAGGCGACGAUCCAUAGCCGGCCUGAGAGGGUGAACGGCCACAUUGGGACUGAGACACGGCCCAG
This 336-nucleotide ribosomal RNA is filed under the name uncultured bacterium. RNAcentral describes it as "bacterial SSU rRNA". It matches the Rfam family "Bacterial small subunit ribosomal RNA", at positions 28 to 334 of the family's 1533-position model. The record is from RNAcentral.